CUGGCUGUAAACGGUGCGCACUUGCUGUAAGCGGCGUCAAAACCGCUUGUGGCGAAGUCAACACGUUAGGUGCGCCGCCUGGGGAGUACGGUCGCAAGACUAAAACUCAAAGAAAUUGACGGGGGCCUGCACAAGCGGUGGAGUAUGUGGCUUAAUUCGAUGCAACGCGAAGAACCUUACCUGGCCUUGACAUGUGAGUAGUAGAAGCCUGAAAGGGUGACGAGGUAGCAAUACCAGCUUACACAGGUGC
This 250-nucleotide ribosomal RNA is filed under the name uncultured bacterium. RNAcentral's name for it is "partial 16S ribosomal RNA". It matches the Rfam family "Bacterial small subunit ribosomal RNA", at positions 796 to 1041 of the family's 1533-position model. The record is from RNAcentral.